Manis pentadactyla (Chinese pangolin) is the source of this 1820-nucleotide long non-coding RNA. RefSeq lists it as uncharacterized. The record is from RefSeq and is a predicted model, not a curated record. NCBI's taxonomy places the organism in Eukaryota, Metazoa, Chordata, Mammalia, Pholidota, Manidae. The transcript is spliced from 4 exons.
CCUCAAUAGCCUAAUCUCAGCGUCCGGCUCCUCUCUUGCACUCCCAGGGAGGGCAAGUUGGGAGAGCAGAGGGCGUCGUGGGCAUGGUCGCAGUCCUUUCUGAGCGCCGCUUUCAGGGUUAAAGUUCCGGAAUCCGAGGCAUACCCCAAUAAAAUAAAGAGGCAACCAGGCGAUACCGACUAUCUCACCAGCCUCUGCACCUAUAGGACUUGGAGACGUCACGAGUCACGCAACCGGCCCGCGCGCUGUCACGCUCGACUGGGGGCAGCGGCAGGAGGUUAAUUUCUUCGUCUUCGCCUAUCAGUCCCAAGUCUGAGCGGCCACAAGUCCCAGACUCCUCGGCCGCGGGAAUAAAUAAAGAAAUAAACAAACGCAACGCUCUCUGGUGGAAAUGGGGGUGGCGAACAUCAGACACAAAUAGAGCCAAGAUCAAUUUUCUUCGGGAGGGAAAAGGGGGUUGCUCUUGGCCAAAGGAGGUGGGAGCCCACCUCAGCCCACAAUUGGAAAGAAAAGUUGUUCCGAGGAUCAAUGAGGUUUCUUGCAGGAGGCAAGACAGUCGUCUUCUUGUCUAAAAAUUAUUUUUUCCGCGGAGGAGGUCUCUGCAAAUGAAUAUUGAGGCGCCUCUAGCUGGUUCUGUUCGGGACACGGUAACUCAGUGCCCGCUUGCAGACCUGCAAAGAACUAAUUACUAGGUUCUCACGGAGGGGAAAUGAGACAGAGACGUUAGGAGGAAGAAAGAGAGGUGUCCGCAAUGUUUCCUGAGGAGAAAAAGUCCAUUCUGCGAAUGCUCCUUCAGCCAGCACCUUGGCGGAUGCGCGCGAGCUUUUGCGCGCAGCUGGAAAUGCGCUAGGUUCCGUUGAGAGCAGCGUACUGCGUAGACCGCCCCGGCCGCGCGGAGGGAAGAGCUAUGCCUGCCCAGCACAGUUCGAAACUGGCCUUCCGAACGGCCCGGGGCCGCGAGGUCGGUAGCGAGUCUCCCCUGGCCUCCUGGUGCUGCAAGCCUGGCCUCGGGGGGCAGCCCCGGCAGAAGGGUCCGGAAGCGGGGACCCCUGGAGCCUCCCUCCCCGGCACGGUCACACCCGGAAAACUUCGGGGUGAAACUGUCAGGCUCUUUGUGGGCUGUGACUGACAUAGGUUCCCGGUGGAAAAGUUCCUGGUGGAAAAGUUCCUGGCGAUUGUUUCCGCCGGGGCCCUUGGUUCCCUAGUCACCAUGGCAACCCCAGAGUCCCGUGGAACGCUCUUAACAAUGGGGCGCGCAGAGGACAAUGCGCACUUCUGCGGAGCGCCCAGAGGCCUGCAGGGCGCUUCCGCCCAUCGCUCCUGGCUUUCCGGAGCCUCCGCAGUGGGUUCAACACCGCAGGGCUUGAAAAACUAUCCCCUUUUCUUAACCGUAGUAAAAAUCGAGAUUUCGUAGAAUCUCUGUGGGGUAGGUUCCCGUCUUGUGCAAAAGCAAUCACUUUGGCUUGAAAGCGGUGACCUCGAAGAUGGGUGCGCCGGCGGUAGGCCAAAUACUUUCAUCGAAGGCCGAAUACUUUCACUGAAGCCUGCACCCCUAACACAACCAGGGACCUGGGAUCCGGAGUCCCUUCACAUAUACAACCUACCCCCGUCCACACGCCAGGCUCGCCGCAUUCGUCCAAGCAGCCUUUCCCCUGCCUGGAAUACCAACCUUCUCCUAAAAGCAAGGGCAAAAAUCGGCAUUGUGGCGUUCAUGUUUCUGCAAGGUCUUAUUGAGGCAAAGAAUAAAUCUUAGUCGUUUUCCUUUUAGAGGAAAACGUUUCUUCGAUUGUGGAUGUAAGCUAUGUAGCAUUAAAAUAAUA